RNA transcript from Benincasa hispida (wax gourd), 2157 nucleotides. It is a transcript of the gene named tRNAisopentenyltransferase 2, with no coding region annotated. NCBI's taxonomy places the organism in Eukaryota, Viridiplantae, Streptophyta, Magnoliopsida, Cucurbitales, Cucurbitaceae. The record is from RefSeq and is a predicted model, not a curated record.
AAAUUGAAUCAUCGGAGAAGCGAUGAGCGUUGUAAACGGAGGCACUCCAACGCAGUCUGCAAAUCCGAACAUGGGAAGAGAAAUGCCGAAGGUGGUGGUGAUUAUGGGGCCGACUGGUUCUGGGAAGUCUCGUCUCGCUAUUGACUUGGCUUCACUCUUCCCCGUCGAGAUCAUCAACGCCGACUCUAUGCAGGUUUAUCGAGGAUUGGACGUUCUCACAAACAAAGUUCCUCCCGAAGAUCAAAAUGGAGUCCCGCAUCAUCUUUUAGGUACAGUGAGUCCAGACGUUGAAUUCACGGCUAAAGACUUCCGAGAUUCUGCCGUUCCUGUUAUCGAUGACAUAAUUUCUCGUGGAUGCUUGCCAAUGAUAGUGGGUGGAACGAAUUAUUAUAUACAGGCCCUUGUUAGCCCGUUUCUUCUGGAUGAUUCUACAGAAAAUAUUAGCGGAAGUUGCUCCAUUUAUCACGGAGAUGAAGAGCUGGGUAUUGAGUUGGAUGAGGGAAGAGAUGAUUUGAAGUAUGACCAUAACCAUCUUAAAAAGAUUGAUCCAGUUUCAGCUAACAGAAUCCAUCCUAAUAACCACAGAAAAAUAAAUCAAUACCUGAGUUUGUAUUACCGCACUGGCGUUCUUCCCAGUAUACUUUUUCAAGGAAAGGCUGCUGAGAAUUGGGGUCAAGCUGAUAAUUUCAGAUACAAUUGCUGCUUGAUAUGUGUCGAUGCUUCUGUUCCACAACUUGAUGGACAUGUUAAUUCUAGAGUUGACAGCAUGAUGACUGCUGGAUUACUUGAUGAGGUCUAUGACAUUUACAAUCCAAAUGCAAACUAUACUAGAGGAUUACGUCAAGCUAUUGGUGUUCGGGAGUUUGAGGAGUUUCUGAGAUAUCAUGUACCCAAAGGUAGAUGCGAAGAUGAUAGUGCUGGGUUUAGUCCAAAAAAUUUGAUGGAGUGCAAUGAGAUUUUGAAAGAGAAUAUGAGGUCAAUCCCAAAUUCACCAAGUGAUGGCCAACCCAGUUUGCUACUGAAAGAAGCUAUAGAUAAUGUAAAGUUGAAUACUAGAAGACUGGUUCGUCGUCAGAGGAGGCAGCUAAGGAGGCUGGAGACUUUGUUUGGAUGGAAGAUCCACUAUGUUGAUUCCACGGAAUAUAUAACAUCCAAAGUGGAGGAUUCGUGGACUGCACAAGUCGUUGAACCUGCAGUCCACAUAAUUAGGUCUUUCCUUAAAGAUGGUUGUUCAGCGACUGAGACAAUGAACCCGCAUAACUCAGGGCAAACAAUCAAGAAGGACGUGUGGACACAGUAUAUAUGCCAGGCUUGUGGGAAUAAAGUAUUAAGAGGAGCACAUGAAUGGGAACAACACAAUCAAGGUCGCACGCAUCGGAAACGAAUGUAUCGGCUUAAGAAGAAGUGUGAAGCGCUUUCCUUGCUGCAACAGAAACUAUCUCCUCAAGAGUAGCUCUUAUGGCUUGCAGUUUUGGCAAGACUGGAUGAUAUUGGUGGAGCGAUUGUUGUUGGAGCCAGUUUACACUAACAAUAAUCUGAUUCUACUCCUUUUUAAAGCAAAAAAUGAUGAUGCUCAUUUGAUUGGUGACAAGAUAGCAGAGAUCUAUUCACUUGGGCGGAUUAGACAUUGAGGCAUAUAGUAGAGAAACAUUGAACUAUUUUUAGUUGGCACAUAGUUAUUUGAAGCAUAAAAGGAGCGCCCACUUGGAGACUUGGGAUCUCAACAGGAAAUGCAAAGGUUGCAACAAUGAAAGUCGGCCGGGCUUUAAGUUCUUAGGAAGAGCUAUACGAGGCAACUCACGUACGGUUUGGGAGUCGAGCCCCAGCACAAGGACUUAGAUCAACACUUAUUUAAUAGCCGUCAUCAAUUGGAAGCGAACAAGAUGGUGAUGGAUUGUGAUUGGUCAAAACCUAUUGCGACCCAUCCAGAAUGGCCAUACGUACUAAGACCUUAUUCACACAGCGAAGAGAGGCCGAAUUUCCAUUUUAUAUAUUUGCGUGAAAUAAAAAGUUGGCUUGGCUGGUUGGUAGUGAGGCAUGCUCAAGCCUCAUCCAUGGGCUAAACUUUUGUCUUGGGUUCAAUUGACAAAAGUUCAAUUCCUAGGGCUACAAGUUCAUUUUAUUAUUAUUAUUAUUUUUAUAUUUUAUUCUUUUCUA